This 253-nucleotide ribosomal RNA is filed under the name uncultured bacterium. Its description in RNAcentral is "partial 16S ribosomal RNA". It matches the Rfam family "Bacterial small subunit ribosomal RNA", at positions 524 to 776 of the family's 1533-position model. The record is from RNAcentral.
UACGUAGGGCGCAAGCGUUGUCCGGAAUUAUUGGGCGUAAAGAGCUCGUAGGCGGCCUGUCGCGUCCGCUGUGAAAUCCCGGGGCUCAACCCCGGGCCUGCAGUCGAUACGGGCAAGCUAGAGUUCGGCAGGGGAGACUGGAAUUCCUGGUGUAGCGGUGAAAUGCGCAGAUGUCAGGAGGAACACCGGUGGCGAAGGCGGGUCUCUGGACAGUUCCUGACACUGAGACACGAAGGCCAGGGGAGCAAACGGG